This 433-nucleotide ribosomal RNA is filed under the name uncultured bacterium. RNAcentral describes it as "partial 16S ribosomal RNA". It matches the Rfam family "Bacterial small subunit ribosomal RNA", at positions 29 to 507 of the family's 1533-position model. The record is from RNAcentral.
AGCGAACGCUGGCGGCAGGCUUAACACAUGCAAGUCGAGCGGGCCCUUCGGGGUCAGCGGCGGACGGGUGAGUAACGCGUGGGAACGUGCCUUCUGGUUCGGAAUAACUCAGGGAAACUUGAGCUAAUACCGGAUACGCCCUUUUGGGGAAAGGUUUACUGCCGGAAGAUCGGCCCGCGUCUGAUUAGCUAGUUGGUGGGGUAACGGCCUACCAAGGCGACGAUCAGUAGCUGGUCUGAGAGGAUGAUCAGCCACACUGGGACUGAGACACGGCCCAGACUCCUACGGGAGGCAGCAGUGGGGAAUAUUGGACAAGGGGCGCAAGCCUGAUCCAGCCAUGCCGCGUGAGUGAUGAAGGCCUUAGGGUUGUAAAGCUCUUUUAUCCGGGACGAUAAUGACGGUACCGGAGGAAUAAGCCCCGGCUAACUUCGUG